This 464-nucleotide ribosomal RNA is filed under the name uncultured bacterium. RNAcentral describes it as "partial 16S ribosomal RNA". It matches the Rfam family "Bacterial small subunit ribosomal RNA", at positions 28 to 507 of the family's 1533-position model. The record is from RNAcentral.
GACGAACGCUGGCGGCGUGCUUAACACAUGCCAGUCGAACGAUGAACCGGUUUCGGCCGGGGAUUAGUGGCGAACGGGUGAGUAACACGUGGGCAAUCUGCCCUGCACUCUGGGAUAAGCCCGGGAAACUGGGUCUAAUACCGGAUACGACACUCCGAGGCAUCUUGGGGUGUGGAAAGUUCCGGCGGUGCAGGAUGAGCCCGCGGCCUAUCAGCUUGUUGGUGGGGUAAUGGCCUACCAAGGCGACGACGGGUAGCCGGCCUGAGAGGGUGACCGGCCACACUGGGACUGAGACACGGCCCAGACUCCUACGGGAGGCAGCAGUGGGGAAUAUUGCACAAUGGGCGAAAGCCUGAUGCAGCGACGCCGCGUGAGGGAUGACGGCCUUCGGGUUGUAAACCUCUUUCAGCAGGGAAGAAGCGAAAGUGACGGUACCUGCAGAAGAAGCACCGGCUAACUACGUG